RNAcentral lists this ribosomal RNA (2126 nucleotides) under human gut metagenome. RNAcentral's name for it is "bacterial LSU rRNA". It matches the Rfam family "Bacterial large subunit ribosomal RNA", at positions 810 to 2925 of the family's 2925-position model. The record is from RNAcentral.
UGCGGAUAGGGGUGAAAGGCCAAUCAAACCCGGAGAUAUCUCGUUCUCCCCGAAAUAGCUUUAGGGCUAGCGUCGCGCGUUCACCGCCGGAGGUAGAGCACCGGAUGGACGAGGGGGCUUCGCCGCCUACCGAAUCCAACCGAACUCCGAAUGCCGGCGGCCCAGAGCGCGGCAGUCAGAGCAUGUGGGCUAAGCUGUGUGCUCGAGAGGGAAACAGCCCGGACCGCCCGCUAAGGUCCCCAAGUUCCAGCCGAGUGGCAAAGGAUGUGCGUCCGCCCAGACAACCAGGAUGUUGGCUUAGAAGCAGCCAUGCAUUCAAAGAGUGCGUAACAGCUCACUGGUCGAGUGGACAUGCGCCGACAAUACACGGGGCUAAGCUGGACACCGAAGCGGCGGGAUUUUAAUUCAUUAGAAUCGGUAGGGGAGCUUCCCAUGGGCGGAGAAGCCGGAGGGCGACCGACGGUGGAGCGCAUGGGAGUGAGAAUGCUGGCAUGAGUAGCGAGAGACGAGAGAGUAACUCGUCCGCCGUGAACCCGAGGUUUCCUGGGCAAGGCUAAUCCUCCCAGGGUCAGUCGGGGGCUAAGGCGAGGCCGGGAGGCGUAGCCGACGCGCAGCAGGCAGACAUUCCUGCACCGCGCACGCGGCGCUACGACCGACGGGGCGACGGAUGGGGGUGGCUCGGCGGGGUUCUGGACGUCCCCGUGAUGGAGCGCGGCCCGCGGACCAGGGAAAUCCGGUCCGCAUCAAGGGCGAGGCUCCGGACGAAGCGACUGAGCGAAGCGAGUGAGCCCGAGGUCCCUAGAAAAACCCCUAGGCAGGCGCGUGCGCGCCCGUACCGCAAACCGACACAGGUGGGUGGGUAGAACAUACCGAGGCGAUCGGGUCAACCAUGGUCAAGGAACUCGGCACAAUGGCCCCGUAACUUCGGGAGAAGGGGUGCCCGCGCGUACGUGAACCGGCUUGCCCGGGGAGCGGAGGCGGGCCGCAGUGGAGAGGCCCAAGCGACUGUUUACCAAAAACACAGGACUCUGCAGAAGCCGCAAGGCGACGUAUAGGGUCUGACGCCUGCCCGGUGCCGGAAGGUCACGCGGAGGAGUUAGCCGUUAAGGCGAAGCCCCGAAGCCAAGCCCCGGUAAACGGCGGCCGUAACUAUAACGGUCCUAAGGUAGCGAAAUUCCUUGUCGGGUAAGUUCCGACCUGCACGAAAGGCGCAACGACUUGGGCGCUGUCUCGACCAUGGACCCGGUGAAAUUGCACUGGUCGUGAAGAUGCGACUUACCCGCGGAAGGACGGAAAGACCCCGUGAACCUUCACUGCAGCUUGGCAUUGGCCGCUGGUCCCGCGUGUAGAGGAUAGGCAGGAGGCAUCGAUCCGGAGGCGCCAGCCCCCGGGGAGCCGCCCUUGGAAUACUGCCCUCGCGCGACCGGCGUCCUAACCCGAGGCCGUCAACCGGCUCGGGGACCGUGCCAGGCGGGCAGUUUGACUGGGGCGGUCGCCUCCUAAAGGGUAACGGAGGCGCGCGAAGGUCCGCUCGGGACGGUCGGCAACCGUCCUUUUGAAUGCAAGAGUACAAGCGGGCUUGACUGCGAGGCCCACAAGCCGAGCAGGUGCGAAAGCAGGCUCUAGUGAUCCGGCGGCCCCGAGUGGGUGGGCCGUCGCUCAACGGAUAAAAGGUACUCCGGGGAUAACAGGCUGAUCUUGCCCAAGAGUCCACAUCGACGGCAAGGUUUGGCACCUCGAUGUCGGCUCAUCGCAUCCUGGGGCUGGAGCAGGUCCCAAGGGUACGGCUGUUCGCCGUUUAAAGCGGUACGCGAGCUGGGUUCAGAACGUCGUGAGACAGUUCGGUCCCUAUCCUCCGUGGGCGCAGGAGAAUCGAUGGAGGCUGCCCCCAGUACGAGAGGACCGGGGUGGACGCACCUCCGGUGAACCGGUUGUCGACCAACGGCACGGCCGGGUAGCCGCGUGCGGCGCGGAUAACCGCUGAAGGCAUCUAAGCGGGAAGCCGUUCCAGGGAUUAGUUCUCCUUCCGGUAAGGGCCCAGGUAGACUACCUGGUCGAUAGACGGCAGGUGCAAGGACGGCGACGUCCUCAGCCGAGCCGCACUAAUCGCCCGAGCUCUUCCGGAA